This 157-nucleotide non-coding RNA is filed under the name unclassified sequences. Its description in RNAcentral is "DUF2800 RNA". It matches the Rfam family "DUF2800 RNA". Rfam says of the family: Actinobacteria, Firmicutes, Synergistetes (1 example). Terminator (Clostridia) The record is from RNAcentral.
CCGCUAUUUACAGCAUCAGCUGAUCACUGAUGGCUCAACUGUAGAUGGUAGACAACUAAAUACUGUAGCUGCCUUUUGAGCGGGCUUGCUGCAAUCCGAAACGGAGUAAUUCGUUUGGACUGCGGUUGGUUACUUGCACCCAUUUUGCGGCUACCUU